RNAcentral lists this ribosomal RNA (253 nucleotides) under uncultured bacterium. Its description in RNAcentral is "partial 16S ribosomal RNA". It matches the Rfam family "Bacterial small subunit ribosomal RNA", at positions 524 to 776 of the family's 1533-position model. The record is from RNAcentral.
UACGUAGGGGGCAAGCGUUAUCCGGAUUUACUGGGUGUAAAGGGGGCGCAGACGGCGAUGCAAGCCAGGAGUGAAAAUCCAGCGCUUAACGUUGGAAGUGCUUUGGAAACUGCCAGGCUAGAGUGCAGGAGGGGCAGGCGGAAUUCCAAGUGUAGCGGUGAAAUGCGUAGAUAUUAGGAGGAACACCAGUGGCGAAGGCGGCCUGCUGGACUGCAACUGACGUUGAGGCUCGAAGGCGUGGGGAGCAAACAGG